CCUACGGGUUGCAGCAGUGAGGAAUUUUGCGCAAUGGGGGAAACCCUGACGCAGCAACGCCGCGUGAGUGAUGAAGGCUUUCGGGUCGUAAAGCUCUGUCAAGUGGGAAGAACCUAUACAGUGUUAAUACCACUGUGUACUGACGGUACUACUGAAGGAAGCACCGGCUAACUCCGUGCCAGCAGCCGCGGUAAUACGGGGGGUGCAAGCGUUAUUCGGAAUCAUUGGGCGUAAAGAGCACGUAGGCGGCCUGGUAAGUCAGAUGUGAAAGCCCGGGGCUUAACCCCGGAAGGGCAUUUGA
Molecule: ribosomal RNA, 301 nt
Filed under: uncultured bacterium
Lineage: Bacteria
Description: bacterial SSU rRNA
Rfam family: Bacterial small subunit ribosomal RNA
Source: RNAcentral